This is a long non-coding RNA of Mustela putorius furo (domestic ferret), 2147 nucleotides long. The record is from Ensembl. NCBI's taxonomy places the organism in Eukaryota, Metazoa, Chordata, Mammalia, Carnivora, Mustelidae.
UUACUUUAUAUAUUUUUUUCUACAGUGAAUGCAUAUUCUUUGUAUAAUGACCAAUGUUCUGGCAAAGGGAGCAGUUCCUUUCCCUUCCGAGCUCUCUGACUCACCCUUUUCCUCUCCUUCCUCUUCUUUUAUCCCCUCUCUUCCUGGCCUCACAGGUUUCUAUUCUCUUCCUAGGCUGGUGCUGAAAUCCCAAAUGACUCACCUACCAGAGGCAGGCAGAACGCCAGGUAAUGAGAACAGGCAUCAGUAAGGUGGAAGGCUGAAGCUCCAAACUCGAGGGGAGCGUGGCUCCUGCUGUUUCGGGGCUGGGGAAGAACAUCUCCUGUGGGAGAACAGGAGUCAUUUCCUGCCUCAGGCUCUGCUCUCUGGUCACCGCGAGGAGGCAGGUGAGGCCCCUGGCCCUGGAGAUCUGGGGCUCAGCCCCUACGAUUCCCUCCUUGGACCCCCAGCCCCGCCAUCUCCCUUUCUCGGGAGGCCUCUGCCGCGGCCCACUCCACGCGGAGCUUGUAUCUUACGGCCAGAGGGCUGACUCCUUCUCUUUAUUUCCAAAUUCCUUGAAGACAGAUUGCAUGCUGCCAGCCACUUGUGACUCCGUCAGAUGACCGGCGACCGGCUCCCCUGUGGUCGCUCUCACGCUCGCCUGGGUGGCAGGAGCCUCUGGCCUGGUUUCUGGAUUUCUCACAAAGGGACUUCGUCCACACACCGUAGUUGAGCUGAUGCCUCUGGGGGAGAGGAGGGGCUGGGGCUUCCUCUCCCUCCCUCCUGCCGACCUGCCUGCUUCUCGGGCUCCUUAAAGUGUCCAGGUUCCUAAGUUCAAAUUAUAUUUCAGAAAACAUGUCUCUAAGUUUCAAAUGAAGAACCUGCCACGGUGGUCCCUUCGCUCUCUGUUCCUCCCCUGGGCUCGGAAACAUGAGUCUCUCUUCGGUGUAGGUGGUGGUGGUUGUCCAGGGGCUGAGUUUCUUGAUUCUUCUUGAUCUGCUCCAUGAAGACACCGCACAGCUGGUCGGGCAGAGCUUUGCAGCUGGAGCGGGCAGCCCGCUGGGGACUGGCCACAAGACCGGGGACUGCUUUCCUGAGGAAGAGCCUGACAGCCUGAUGGCAGCGGGCCCGCUGGGGCUGUCGCCCCUGGCACGGAGGCGUCUGCAGGCAGGAGCCCGGGUCAUGCUGGCGCUGGCCACUUUCACCCCCCCCACGAAGAGUGACAGAGGCCUCUUCUCAGAGGCCCUCAGUUUCCAAGACCACAGACAAUGAUGUCUCAGUCACUGCCCCCCUGAACCAGUAACUCUUACUCAAACGAAAAAGACAUCUUUGAUUUCUCAUAACUCCCUAAAAAUAAAAUCACAUACUUAAUUAUCUGCUCUACUGAGCUCCACCUUGAUUUUUAGUCAAAUUAUUCCCAGUUUGCUCAUUGUUGAGGGGAAGUGUGUGGUGGAGGGGCAGGGGAGGAGAGGUGGUUGAAAAAUGCCUGCAAAUGUCAGGUCAAGUUUAAACAGCUGACAGGACCCUCCAAGUGGGAAAGACGCUAGAGACAGUGGACUGGACUAUCUCUCGACUUCAACACUCUGUUUAAGAUCUCCUCCAUCCUUAUUUACUGUGUCUACCUAAUGAGCUUUGAUUUGUGGCCAGAGGUUGCACUCAGCCAGCUGUACUCAACAACCACCAGGACACAUGGCUUCCAUCGAAGUUGCCGCACAGCUGUGAACUGGUUCAAGUGUUGACUGGUCACACGAAAGGGAGGGAAAGGCCUAUUCUGGCAUCAGAAGGAGUGACUGAGCAGGAACACAGAGACCGUGUGAGGGCUAAGGUAGUGGUUUGAGUUUGGGAACCCAAACAUGAUGCAUUUGGCUGAGGCUGUCUCUCUCCAUCCAUCACCAUGGCGGUCAUUGUCAGGCUGACAUCACAGAGAGCUAGCUGGGUCUUUAAGACUACUGGAGGUCAGCCCACUGGGGUCAACCCCCGAUCCUCAGAGAAGCACAUGGCUGUGAAACUCUUACAACAAGAAUGAGUUGUGGUCCAAUAAAUGUUGGUGAGGAUGUGGAGAAACAGACUCGUACUUUGUUGGGGGCCAAGUAAAAUGGUACAGCUGUUGUAGGAAAAUUUGGCAAUUCCUCAAGAACUUAAACACAGAAUUAUUGUAUGAUUCAGCA